Molecule: ribosomal RNA, 556 nt
Filed under: uncultured bacterium
Lineage: Bacteria
Description: partial 16S ribosomal RNA
Rfam family: Bacterial small subunit ribosomal RNA
Source: RNAcentral
UGGGGAAUAUUGCACAAUGGGCGCAAGCCUGAUGCAGCCAUGCCGCGUGUGUGAAGAAGGCCUUCGGGUUGUAAAGCACUUUCAGCGAGGAGGAAGGCGUUAAGGUUAAUAACCUUGGCGAUUGACGUUACUCGCAGAAGAAGCACCGGCUAACUCCGUGCCAGCAGCCGCGGUAAUACGGAGGGUGCAAGCGUUAAUCGGAAUUACUGGGCGUAAAGCGCACGCAGGCGGUUUGUUAAGUCAGAUGUGAAAUCCCCGAGCUUAACUUGGGAACUGCAUUUGAAACUGGCAAGCUAGAGUCUUGUAGAGGGGGGUAGAAUUCCAGGUGUAGCGGUGAAAUGCGUAGAGAUCUGGAGGAAUACCGGUGGCGAAGGCGGCCCCCCUGGACAAAGACUGACGCUCAGGUGCGAAAGCGUGGGGCAGCAAACAGGAUUAGAUACCCUGGUAGUCCACGCUGUAAAACGAUGUCGAUUUGGAGGUUGUGGGCUUGACCCGUGGCUUCCGGAGCUAACGCGUUAAAUCGACCGCCUGGGGAGUACGGCCGCAAGGUUAAAAC